CCGAGUUGCAAAACUCCCUAAACCCAUCGUUUAUUUAUCUUGAAAAGCGUCUGCUUCGGCGGGCGGCCCCAGGGCGGGGCCGCGGCCGUGCCUGUGGUACGGCGCCCGCCGAAGAAGACGAAGCCCAAACUCUUGUAUUUCAGUACCAUUCUGAGCCUAAAGACAAAUAAUCA
This 173-nucleotide unclassified non-coding RNA is filed under the name uncultured fungus. RNAcentral's name for it is "sequence contains ITS1, 5.8S rRNA gene". Lineage: Eukaryota; Fungi. The record is from RNAcentral.